This 374-nucleotide unclassified non-coding RNA is filed under the name uncultured bacterium. RNAcentral describes it as "contains 16S-23S intergenic spacer region". The record is from RNAcentral.
UCCGGUUUGUCACCGGCAGUCCCAUUAGAGUGCUCAUCUGAAUGUGGCAACUAAUGGCAAGGGUUGCGCUCGUUGCGGGACUUAACCCAACAUCUCACGACACGAGCUGACGACAGCCAUGCAGCACCUGUGUUACGGCUCCCUUUCGGGCACGCCUGCAUUUCUGCAGGCUUCCGUACAUGUCAAGGGUAGGUAAGGUUUUUCGCGUUGCGUCGAAUUAAACCACAUGCUCCACCGCUUGUGCGGGCCCCCGUCAAUUCCUUUGAGUUUCAACCUUGCGGUCGUACUCCCCAGGUGGAUUACUUAUCGCUUUCGCUUGGACACUCAGGGUUGCCCCCGAACAUCUAGUAAUCAUCGUUUACAGUGUGGACUAC